ACUUUUAUUGCACACAUAUCCAGAUGAUGAUGUGUACCAUUUUUAUACUGUAGGUGUGAUCGAGGCGCAAGUUAUAGUAGACUAAACGCUGUAGCUAACUACUUUCAUCGUAAUGACGCAUUACGCUUCGAACACACCGACUGUGUCCCUGCAUCACUGCUGCAUAACAUUUUACGCAGCUAGGCAACUAUACGGAUGCAGGUAUCUUUUGCAGAUGGUCGCAUACGGUUGGACACAUGGAGGAGAGAAUCAUUUUCGCAAAAUCCUCAAAACCGUGUAUUUUUUACACAACUGCUGAUAGCUACAGGGACAUAAACACACAAAAAAUGCUGCUUGGAGACACGUGUCCACGAUAGUAGGAUUGCCAAGUUAGUUUAGUAGUGAGCUUGUGCUAGAUAGCUAGCUAGCUAACCUAGCCAAUGAGAAGACGACUGUAGGAGGAAGUGGAGAGGACUCAGGGACAGGUAUCAGAGAGAAAGAGAAGAAGUCUGGGUCAGCAGCUUCAGGCCAGCAGCCUUGGCACUACUGCCACAUUUUCUUUUCUGGAUCCAUUUAUUGAGCCUAGGGCAACGAGUGGCAAUUUUACAGCCAGACCCUCUACAAGUGUUGUCGCCACCGGUGCAUCAAGACCCUCAACGCCAUCUACAAGUGCGACCAUCGCCUCCACCGGUGGAGUGAAACCCUCUACAACAUCUACAUCAUCCACAAGUAUGACCACCACCGGUGCAGCCAUGGAGGAUAAUGAAAUGGAGGAAGCACCUCUGGAUCUAGGACCACCUGAGAUUAUUAUGAACCUCACUGAGGUCCUCGUUGAACAGGAUGUGGCCGUGGAGAGAAACUGAGAGAAACAACGUCACACCAGGCAUCAUCGGAGAGAUUGAGUCCAUUUAGCCGACCAGCUCACAGGAAGGACAGGAAGAGGAGAGGAGUUGUCUGGUUGUUGUUUUGACCUCCCUCAUUGUACCUUUCAAAUUCAGUCAAUUCAUAAGUAAUUUGUUUAUAAAGUCUUAGGAUAGCAUUCAUUAGUGUUACAUAGAUUUCUGAAUUGAACUCACAGAUUCUCUUGUUGGUCUCUCACAAGACUGAAGGUGAAUAUAUUUAUUUCAUUUAAAACCACUUGAAAACCAGGGUGUUGAAACUGUUAAGUUAUGUUCCAUCGACUGGUCCAUGACGUCCAGGAGCCAUGUUUGUUUAGCUGUGUUAUGGCUACACAUUAUUUUAUUUUUUUCCCCAGAGACACACACCACUCCUCUCUGUACCUCAGAUCUCCAGUGCCCUGCCCGCUCUCUCUCUAUGACCAUGUCUGAAGUUCCCCUACUACAUCUAGGCUUUGAGUAGUCCCUGUAUCUGUCUGCAAUUGUGCCAAAAAUACAUGCUCUUGUUGUUCUCUUACAGAUUACAGGGCUACACACACGCACACACCUCUUUCAAUAGUUAAUUUAAAAAUAUAUAUUUUUACAACACACAUACCUGUCAUGUUCUUUCCUGUACUUGAAUACUUAUUAAAUGGUUUAUUAAUAUCUCAUUUAGACUUACUCUGCUUAUUUCUUCCCU
Oncorhynchus tshawytscha (Chinook salmon) is the source of this 1554-nucleotide long non-coding RNA. RefSeq lists it as uncharacterized. Lineage: Eukaryota; Metazoa; Chordata; Actinopteri; Salmoniformes; Salmonidae. The transcript has 3 exons. The record is from RefSeq and is a predicted model, not a curated record.